This 185-nucleotide non-coding RNA is filed under the name Clostridium amylolyticum. RNAcentral describes it as "6S / SsrS RNA". It matches the Rfam family "6S / SsrS RNA". Rfam says of the family: E. coli 6S RNA was the first non coding RNA to be sequenced, but its function was unknown until recently. It consists of 184 nucleotides that fold into an extended hairpin structure with a large single-stranded internal bulge. Lineage: Bacteria; Bacillati; Bacillota; Clostridia; Eubacteriales; Clostridiaceae. The record is from Rfam by way of RNAcentral.
UAAAUCCUGAGAUGUCCGCGAAGCUUGUAGUAUUCAACCUACAGAAUUGAUACGGGAUUUUCAACAUUUUUACAGAUGUCAAGCUGCACAGGUUAUUAGAUGUAGUAGGCAGAAGUAAGAUGAGAAAAACCCACCUGCUAAGUGCAGGUAUGAAUUUAUGGGCGUGACGGCAUGUUGGGAUAAAA